Molecule: ribosomal RNA, 497 nt
Filed under: uncultured bacterium
Lineage: Bacteria
Description: partial 16S ribosomal RNA
Rfam family: Bacterial small subunit ribosomal RNA
Source: RNAcentral
GAUGAACGCUGGCGGCGUGCCUAAUACAUGCAAGUCGAGCGAACGGACGAGAAGCUUGCUUCUCUGAUGUUAGCGGCGGACGGGUGAGUAACACGUGGAUAACCUACCUAUAAGACUGGGAUAACUUCGGGAAACCGGAGCUAAUACCGGAUAAUAUUUUGAACCGCAUGGUUCAAAAGUAAAAGACGGUCUUGCUGUCACUUAUAGAUGGAUCCGCGCUGCAUUAGCUAGUUGGUAAGGUAACGGCUUACCAAGGCAACGAUGCAUAGCCGACCUGAGAGGGUGAUCGGCCACACUGGAACUGAGACACGGUCCAGACUCCUACGGGAGGCAGCAGUAGGGAAUCUUACGCAAUGGGCGAAAGCCUGACGGAGCAACGCCGCGUGAGUGAUGAAGGUCUUCGGAUCGUAAAACUCUGUUAUUAGGGAAGAACAUAUGUGUAAGUAACUGUGCACAUCUUGACGGUACCUAAUCAGAAAGCCACGGCUAACUACGUG